UGCAUACAACGUUGCCGUAUG
Molecule: non-coding RNA, 21 nt
Filed under: Caenorhabditis elegans
Lineage: Eukaryota; Metazoa; Nematoda; Chromadorea; Rhabditida; Rhabditidae
Source: RNAcentral